Triplophysa rosa is the source of this 693-nucleotide non-coding RNA. NCBI's taxonomy places the organism in Eukaryota, Metazoa, Chordata, Actinopteri, Cypriniformes, Nemacheilidae. The record is from the annotation of a RefSeq genome assembly.
CACCCCCAUAUAAAAUUAUGGACAUAAAUAAGAUCACAAGGGAUUUAUUGUUCUCUGAAAAAAUGUUUUUUACUCUGAUAUUAUACGCUCUCAGCUGGGAGGCGGAGCUUUAACCAGUUGUAUAGAUCUCAACAAAACAGACGAUGUUUGCAUUGUCCUCAGGGUACAAGUUCAUCUCAACAUACCAUAAUGUUUCUUCACAUCAUUAUCCUGCUCUGUGCUGUUGGGUGUGGAAGGUUUGAGAGUGUGAUUACACCAGACCAAACUGAGUUCUUCGAAGAAGAGGGUACAGAUGUAACUCUGUCCUGUAGCUAUUCAUCAGCAAUCAGUUUACAGUGGUAUCGGCAGUACCCCAGAUCUGCACCUGAAUAUCUUCUUUUAAUCCUGCAAACCUCAAGACGUGUCCAGAGCGCAGAGAAACUGGAUCCUCGAUUUUCAGCUAAAUUAAAUGAAAAGAAAGACCGUGUGUAUCUGGAGAUCUCCUCUGUUAAAGUCACAGACUCUGAUCUGUAUUACUGCGCUCUGGAGCCCACAGUCACACAACAACACAACAACACUGAACAAAAACCUGCCACACACAGACCCAGUGCAUUACUGUUUGACUUUCAACUGGUUUAACUGGUAGUUUUCACCCACAUUUCUCUGUCCUUUCUUUAAUCUCUAAAUGUAUAAAUUAAAUAAAACCAUUAUAUG